AAGAAGCAACAAUAGGAUUGAAACUUGAGAGUGAAAGAGACGAGUUCAAAAGGUUUCAGUGAGGACAGAGAUUUGAGUGAAAGAGAUGGUUGAAAGUGAGAGAGGAGUGAAUGAAAGUGAGAAGGGAGUGAGAACAAACUAGAGCUUAGGUCAAAAAAACUCUAGGAUCGUAAGAACCUAUGACCCGGUGCGAGAACCUGACUACAGACAGGUCAAAAAAGGAACCUACAUGGGUUCUAAGCUCGGUUGGCCUUCACGAGCUCAUAGGAUCUUAAGAACCUAAGACCCGGUGCGAGAA
Molecule: long non-coding RNA, 298 nt
Filed under: Trifolium pratense (red clover)
Lineage: Eukaryota; Viridiplantae; Streptophyta; Magnoliopsida; Fabales; Fabaceae
Description: long non-coding RNA (TPRA_LNC010425)
Source: RNAcentral